RNAcentral lists this ribosomal RNA (855 nucleotides) under Lysinibacillus fusiformis. Its description in RNAcentral is "bacterial SSU rRNA". It matches the Rfam family "Bacterial small subunit ribosomal RNA", at positions 80 to 918 of the family's 1533-position model. The record is from RNAcentral. Lineage: Bacteria; Bacillati; Bacillota; Bacilli; Caryophanales; Bacillaceae.
UUGCUCCUUUGACGUUAGCGGCGGACGGGUGAGUAACACGUGGGCAACCUACCUUAUAGUUUGGGAUAACUCCGGGAAACCGGGGCUAAUACCGAAUAAUCUGUUUCACCUCAUGGUGAAAUAUUGAAAGACGGUUUCGGCUGUCGCUAUAGGAUGGGCCCGCGGCGCAUUAGCUAGUUGGUGAGGUAACGGCUCACCAAGGCGACGAUGCGUAACCGACCUGAGAGGGUGAUCGGCCACACUGGGACUGAGACACGGCCCACACUCCUACGGGAGGCAGCAGUAGGGAAUCUUCCACAAUGGGCGAAAGCCUGAUGGAGCAACGCCGCGUGAGUGAAGAAGGAUUUCGGUUCGUAAAACUCUGUUGUAAGGAAAGAACAAGUACAGUACUAACUGGCUGUACCUUGACGGUACCUUAUUAGAAAGCCACGGCUAACUACGUGCCAGCAGCCGCGGUAAUACGUAGGUGGCAAGCGUUGUCCGGAAUUAUUGGGCGUAAAGCGCGCGCAGGUGGUUUCUUAAGUCUGAUGUGAAAGCCCACGGCUCAACCGUGGAGGGUCAUUGGAAACUGGGAUACUUGAGUGCAAAAAAGGAUAGUGUAAUUCCAAGUGUAGCGGUGAAAUGCAUAUAGAUUUGAAGGAACACCAGUGGCGAAAGCGACUAUCUGGUCUGUAACUGACACUGACGCGCGAAAGCGUGGGGAGCAAACAGGAUUACAUACCCUGGUAGUCCACGCCGUAAACAAUGAGUGCUAAGUGUUAGGGGGUUUCCGCCCCUUAGUGCUGCAACUAACGCAUUAAGCACUCCGCCUGGGGAGUACGGUCGCAAGACUGAAACUCAAAGGAAUUGACGGGG